GGGGCUGGACCUCUCGGGGUUACAGCCUUGCUGAAUUAUUCACCCUUGUCUUUUGCGUACUUCUUGUUUCCUUGGUGGGUUCGCCCACCACUAGGACAAACAUAAACCUUUUGUAAUUGCAAUCAGCGUCAGUAACAAAUUAAUAAUUACAACUUUCAACAACGGAUCUCUUGGUUCUGGCAUCGAUGAAGAACGCAGCGAAAUGCGAUAAGUAGUGUGAAUUGCAGAAUUCAGUGAAUCAUCGAAUCUUUGAACGCACAUUGCGCCCUUUGGUAUUCCAAAGGGCAUGCCUGUUCGAGCGUCAUUUGUACCCUCAAGCUUUGCUUGGUGUUGGGCGUCUUGUCUCUAGCUUUGCUGGAGACUCGCCUUAAAGUAAUUGGCAGCCGGCCUACUGGUUUCGGAGCGCAGCACAAGUCGCACUCUCUAUCAGCAAAGGUCUAGCAUCCAUUAAGCCUUUUUUUCAACUUUUGACCUCGGAUCAGGUAGGGAUACCCGCUGAACUUAAGCAUAUCAAUAAGUCGGAGGAA
Molecule: ribosomal RNA, 527 nt
Filed under: fungal sp. BTZKDF2
Lineage: Eukaryota; Fungi
Description: eukaryotic LSU rRNA
Rfam family: 5.8S ribosomal RNA (bases 151-304)
Source: RNAcentral